AGAGUUUGAUCCUGGCUCAGAUUGAACGCUGGCGGUAAGCCUUAAACAUGCAAGUCGAGCGGUAACAGACAUAAAGAUUUAGCUUGCUAAAUCCGGUGCUGACGAGCGGCGAACGGGUGAGUAACACGUAGGAAUCUACCCAGUAGCGGGGGAUAGCCCAGGGAAACUUGGAUUAAUACCGCAUACACCCUAAGGGGAAAAGAAGGCCUCUCUUUGAAGCUUUCACUAUUGGAUGAGCCUGCGUAAGAUUAGCUUGUUGGUGGGGUAAAGGCCUACCAAGGCAACGAUCUUUAGCUGGUCUGAGAGGACGAUCAGCCACAUUGGGACUGAGACACGGCCCAGACUUCUACGGAAGGCAGCAGUUAGGAAUAUUGGACAAUGGGGGCAACCCUGAUCCAGCUAUACCGCGUGUGUGAAGAAGGCCCUAGGGUUGUAAAGCACUUUAAGCAGGGAAGAAGCAUAUUAAGUUAAUAUCUUAAUAUGUUGACGUUACCUGAAGAAUAAGGACCGGCUAACUCCGUGCCAGCAGCCGCGGUAAUACGGAGGGUCCAAGCGUUAAUCGGAAUUACUGGGCGUAAAGCGCGCGUAGGCGGUUUAAUAAGUUGUAUGUGAAAGCCCUGGGCUCAACCUAGGAACUGCAUGCAAAACUAUUAAGCUUGAGGACGAGAGAGGAGAGUAGAAUUUCAGGUGUAGCGGUGAAAUGCGUAGAUAUCUGAAGGAAUACCAAUGGCGAAGGCAGCUCUCUGGCUCGUUUCUGACGCUAAGGUGCGAAAGCGUGGGUAGCAAACAGGAUUAGAUACCCUGGUAGUCCACGCCGUAAACGAUGAUAACUAGCCGUUGGGCAGAUUUAACUGUUCAGUGGCACAGCUAACGCAUUAAGUUAUCCGCCUGGGGAGUACGGCCGCAAGGCUAAAACUCAAAUGAAUUGACGGGGGCCCGCACAAGCGGUGGAGCAUGUGGUUUAAUUCGACGCAACGCGAAGAACCUUACCUGGUCUUGACAUCCUACGAACUUACUAGAAAUAGUUUGGUGCCUUCGGGAACGUAGUGACAGGUGCUGCAUGGCUGUCGUCAGCUCGUGUCGUGAGAUGUUGGGUUAAGUCCCGUAACGAGCGCAACCCUUGUCCUUAUUUGCCAUCAUUAAGUUGGGCACUCUAGGGAGACUGCCGGUGACAAACCGGAGGAAGGUGGGGACGACGUCAAGUCAUCAUGGCCCUUACGACCAGGGCUACACACGUGCUACAAUGGAGCGUACAAAGGGUCGCGACCUCGCGAGAGUGAGCUAAUCCCAUAAAACGUUUCGUAGUCCGGAUCGCAGUCUGCAACUCGACUGCGUGAAGUCGGAAUCGCUAGUAAUCGUGAAUCAGAAUGUCACGGUGAAUACGUUCCCGGGCCUUGUACACACCGCCCGUCACACCAUGGGAGUGGGUUGCAAAAGAAGUGGGUAGCAUAACCUUCGGGAGUGCGCUCACCACUUUGUGAUUCAUGACUGGGGUGAAGUCGUAACAAGGUAACC
Molecule: ribosomal RNA, 1515 nt
Filed under: uncultured bacterium
Lineage: Bacteria
Description: 16S ribosomal RNA
Rfam family: Bacterial small subunit ribosomal RNA
Source: RNAcentral